AGCAGGAUAGCAGGGCAAUUCUCCUUUGGCAAAGAAGGAGUAUGCAUUUGCAUGGCCACCUUGCCAAUAAAGAAUAGCCCUGUUACUCCUUUA
This 93-nucleotide microRNA precursor is filed under the name Olea europaea subsp. europaea. Lineage: Eukaryota; Viridiplantae; Streptophyta; Magnoliopsida; Lamiales; Oleaceae. The record is from RNAcentral.